Molecule: ribosomal RNA, 218 nt
Filed under: uncultured bacterium
Lineage: Bacteria
Description: partial 16S ribosomal RNA
Rfam family: Bacterial small subunit ribosomal RNA
Source: RNAcentral
GACGAACGCUGGCGGCGUGCUUAACACAUGCAAGUCGAGCGACUGCAUUCUUUCGGAGGUGUAUGGAGCGGCGAACGGGUGAGUAACACGUGAGUAAUCUGCCUUUGGCUUGGGAAUAACUUCGGGAAAUCGGGGCUAAUGCCUGAUGUUUACUGUCUGCUGCAUGGUGGGUGGUGGAAAGUAUUUUUUGGCCGAGGAUGAGCUCGCGGUCUAUCAGC